This is a long non-coding RNA of Monodelphis domestica (gray short-tailed opossum), 1704 nucleotides long. NCBI's taxonomy places the organism in Eukaryota, Metazoa, Chordata, Mammalia, Didelphimorphia, Didelphidae. The record is from Ensembl.
CAUUUCUCUUAAUAUUAGCCUCUUUUUAAAUUUCUCCAGGCAUUCCACAUAGUGCUGACCAGCAUAUGGGAAGAGGAAGACAUGUCCCCAGAACUCAAAGAUGCCUCCAUCGUAGCCCUAUACAAGAACAAAGGCACACGAGCAGCCUGUGACAACUACAGAGGCAUCUCACUACUCUCCACUGCCAGAAAGACCCUCGCCCGUGUUAUAUUCAUCAGACUCCUGUCAUCUGUUUCAGAGCAGAACCUGCCUGAAUCACAAUGUGGCUUCCGACCAGAUCGCAGCACCAUCGACAUGGUCUUCAUGAUCACCAGAAUUUUUCAGAAGCUCUCCUCUUCUUGUCUCCCAAACAGCCAUUUCAUAUGAGAGAGAACAUUUUUAAAGAGAAAAAGAGGAAAAAAGUAGAAAAAUCAUAUGAAAUGUCCAACAUACAACUCCCAGGAAUGUGUAUGAAUGUCACUGAGAAGGCCAUGUGGUGUUUUGGGGUUUGCUGCAAUCUUCACAAAAAGGAACAAAUUGAAAUAUUCAAUAUGACUCUUUGCCAUUUCCAGUUUCUUGGGGCCACAGACUCUUCAAAGUCCAGUGGCAAGGCAAAAGUCAGAAUGACAGGGAUGGCCUGGGACAUAGUGGAUGCCCUUGACAUCUUCAAUAUCGGACCAAGCUGUGAUUAUGACCAGGACCCUGCUGAAUCGAUAUGGAGUUGAACUCAACUGCUCUCUUCUCUCCUCUGUUCCACAUGGAAGGGAUGGAAAUCAGCUACUUUACAGGGGAAGUUUGAAAAGGUCACUGCUGCUGCCGAGCUCUGCAGGGUGAGAGCGGGAGGAGGGGGGUUUUGCAAGGAUUCCAGAUCCCACUUUUCCCCCUCCUUCUUUCCUUCUCUCUCUCUCCUGACAGGUCUAGGAAGCUUUCUCCAGCUGCAUCCGGACUCCCAUUGCAGACUGUCAAACAUUAAAAUAGAUGACCAAAGGAAGUGCUUUCUUUUAGUUUAGACAACUUCUGACACCGGGGAGGGCCUCAUCUCUCUGAAAUGGGCUCAAUGUGACCCUACCUAAAGGCAACGGGAUGGAAGACAUGAUCCUUUCUGGUUCAAGACUUAAUCCUAGAUAUAAACUUUUUUCCACUGAGGCAAUGAAUGCUGAGAGAAUCCAGCAAUCAUUUGGUUAAGAUGAUUGAUGGAACCAACUAAACUAGGUAAUUCCAGACAGUUCCCUCUGGGGCUCGAGUUAUCUAGUUUGACUGUCAGUAUCAAAUUAGCUGGGUAAUUAGCAAGUUUCCAUUUCACUUUGUACGGUGUAAACACAGAUUAAGAUACUAGAACAGGUGAUAGUGGGAAAAUGACAAAAUCCUGUUUCCUGCGGAUUUUUCUUUUCUUUUUCUUUCUUUCAAGGAUAAGUAAUCCUCUAUGUGUCUGGGCUGAACCAUGGACCAUGCUGGUUUAUGGGAAGAGGGAUGGAGAAGGUGCCUUUGAAUUCUCAUUCUAGUUGGAGGAUUUUUUGAUGUAUACAUCAGUUAUGCCAGAUGAAUUGGCCCAGAUCCCUUGGGCAUCAGUUGGAGUGUCACUGGAGGUAUCAUGUUGAGAGAGUGUCCUCAUAGCUACCUUCAGAGAACUUUUUAACCUCACAGCCUGGAGAGAAAUAGCGAUUUCCUUCUAACCUGGAAAAAGAAGGAAUUCAUUGAAAGAGACUUGGUGUGUAUAGCCUAGAA